Molecule: RNA transcript, 3309 nt
Organism: Musa acuminata subsp. malaccensis (wild Malaysian banana)
Lineage: Eukaryota; Viridiplantae; Streptophyta; Magnoliopsida; Zingiberales; Musaceae
Gene name: probable cyclic nucleotide-gated ion channel 20, chloroplastic
Source: RefSeq, a predicted model, not a curated record
CGAUACAGCCAAAGCGCCAGUGAUAGCCCUUUCGAUCAUUUAAUUUGGAGAGAUUCUUUAUAUUUUCCUCCGUUACCACGAAGAAACACGCGAUGCUUCCUCCUGACUCGGCCUUUUCACUCUCCCUCUUCCUCAUCCGCGGUGAAACCUUCCGUCCCACAUCCGGCGCGUCGAAGAUGGUGCCUCUUGCCACUGGUGUGGGAAAACGCCCCCAGGUUUCGCUGUUUCCUUGAUGCGAGGGAGCCGAUCGGAGGCUGGAGCGCGCCGGUCAAUCUCUGCUGCUGCUCGGUUGUUGUGAUGUUCGUCGCAUGAAUCCCGCAAUAAUUUCGGAUCUUUUGUUGUUGCUCCGCUGCUUCUUCGGUUGAGGUUUUGGGUGAGGGAGUUGUUUCCUUGGCAAAAGGUUUAGUCAUAAAAAAUGGCUGAACAUGAGAAAGAUUAUGUUCCAAUGCUAUCAGGCAAUAUAGAGAUGCGAAGAUUUACUGCUAGGAGUGCAUCAAUGUCUGUGCCACCAAAUGCAUCUUAUGAUGGUGAAGAUUCUUUGGUGUUUCAUACUGGUCCUCUGCGUACCCAGAGGACAACAGAGUAUGGAGUUGCAGUUGGCCCUUUAAGUAGGAACAGAAAACCAGAAAAUCAUUGGACUGGACAUGGCAAACUGCACAACAGAUCCCAAGCUGUUAUGCCAGAAGUAUUGGGUGGAGGGGCCUUUCCAGAUACUAACUAUGUGACGAGAAAUGAACAUCUGCUGAUGUCUGGACCUUUGGGUUUAUGCAAUAACCCUGACUGCACUGAAUGCCCUGCAGUUUAUAAAGCCAAAAGAAGUCACCAAAAAAGUUCAGUUUCUCUGGAAAAGAAGCUUCAUAACAUUCUCUAUGGGGAUGAUGAUAGAUGGGUUAAGAAAUGGAUAUCUGGUCUCAAUUCAUAUUUCCCAAUCAUGAAUCCUCAUACAAAAGUUGUUCAACAGUGGAACAAAUUUUUUGUCAUAUCUUGCUUAAUUGCAAUUUUCAUCGAUCCAUUGUUUUUCUUCCUUUUGUCUGUUCAGAAGAACAACAAGUGUAUAGUUUUUAACUGGUCCUUGGCAACAGCAAUUGCAGUCGUGCGAAGUCUGACUGAUUUCAUUUACCUUCUGCACAUCAUACUUCAGUUUAGGCUUGCAUAUGUUGCUCCUGAAUCUAGAGUGGUUGGCGCUGGGGAUCUAGUUGAUCAGCCAAAAAAAAUUGUUCUUCAUUAUCUUCGUGGAUACUUUUUAUUGGAUUUGUUUGUUGUGUUGCCGCUUCCUCAGGUAAUGAUAUUAGCAGUAAUACCAAAUUAUGUGGGAUCAUCAGAAGCAAAUUAUGCCAAAAAUCUUUUACGUGUAACUGUCCUUCUUCAGUAUAUCCCAAGAAUUAUCAGAUUUCUACCACUUCUUGGUGGGCAGUCAGCAAGUGGUUUCAUCUUUGAGUCAGCAUGGGCGAACUUCGUAAUUAAUCUUCUUAUGUUUGCAUUGGCUGGACAUGUCGUGGGUUCAUGUUGGUAUCUGUUUGGCUUACAGAGAGUGAACCAAUGUCUACAAGAUACCUGCUCUGCAACACCAAAUAAUUUUAAUUGCAGCACAUUAAUUGAUUGUGGACGUGGUCAUGCUAUUCAAAAUGAUGCCAGACAACAAUGGGUUCAUGAUAAUAAUUCUUCAGCUUGCUUUAACACUAAUGGAGAUUUUGAUUAUGGGAUAUACCAGAAAACUGUUUUGCUGACCACGAAGUCUAGUGCGGUGAAGAGAUAUAUAUACUCUCUUUUUUGGGGCUUUCAGCAAAUCAGUACUCUAGCUGGUAACCAAGUUCCAAGUUACUUCGUGUGGGAAGUUUUGUUCACCAUGGCAAUCGUUGGACUAGGCCUGCUUCUUUUUGCCUUGCUCAUUGGAAACAUGCAGAAUUUUCUUCAGGCUCUUGGUAGAAGGAGACUUGAAAUGCAACUUCGACGACGUGACGUUGAACGGUGGAUGAGCCAUCGGCGAUUACCUGAACCAUUAAGGAGGAAAGUAAGACAAGCUGAAAGAUUUAGUUGGGCUGCAACUCGAGGUGUUAAUGAAGAAGAACUACUAGAGAAUUUACCCGAGGACAUACAAAGAGAAAUACGUCGCCAUUUCUUUAAGUUUCUCAAUAAAGUCCGUAUUUUCACUCUAAUGGAUGAACCAAUCUUAGAUGCUGUCUGUGAAAAGUUGAGGCAAAAGGUGUACAUUGGAGGAAGUGCCAUAUUUUAUGAAGGAGGUACAGUUGAGAAGAUGGUUUUUAUAGUCCGUGGGAAAUUGGAAAGCAUUGGAGCAGAUGGAAACGUAGCUCCACUCUCCGAAGGAGAUGUAUGUGGUGAGGAGCUCCUUACGUGGUAUCUUGAGCACUCUUCAAUUAAUAAAGGAUUUUGUUUUGCUUGCAGAGGGUGGGAAAAUCCGAUUCCCAGGAUCGCGCUUAUUCGCUACCAGGACUGUUAAAUGCAUUACUAAUGUUGAAGCAUUUGCUCUUCGUGCUGCUGAUCUGGAAGAAGUAACUACAUUGUUCUCCAGGUUCUUGAGAAAUCCACGUGUACAAGGAGCCAUUAGGUAUGAAUCACCCUAUUGGCGCAACAUGGCUGCGACGCGCAUUCAAGUGGCUUGGAGAUACAGGCAGAGGCGUAUAAAGCGGGUGUCAACUAACUCUAGCUCUCGUGCUCGUUGAUGAGCAUCCAUCCGAUUCAGCAAAAACAAACAUUUAUUCCUGUAAUUUGUAUCUAUAUCCAUAUUCGGCUGUAUGAAGCAAAAAGGUCCCUUCCUGGAUAGCAUUCUCUUGCGAUAGGGUUAUGAUCGUCUCAGUCUCAACAUCGAGAGGACAAGUGGUGCGUGAACAUGCCCAAGUUUCCUGUGAAAGAAGCUUAGGGCAAAGACGGUUCGUAUGUUCUACUCCUUGGUCACAGUUUAUUGCUGUGUCACACCUCACAAUCUGGCCUUAUUUCAUAUGAACCAUUGACAAGAGUACAUGGUGGGAUUUCGACAAUCUCGGUGGUUCCCUUUCUUAUUGUGAUCAAACACGAUAUCUGAUUUGAUCAUUAAUUUAGGAUCUAACAGGAUUAUGGUGUGUGCCAAAGGAGUCAACAACUACAGCAACCUGCUUGACCUGAGGAUGAGGUCAAGCCCAAGGAGAAAUCUGACAAGUGAUGGAUGAAGCCAUGUAGGAUAAACAUAUUUAUCAUAUGUUAUGACCAAUACAUAAGGUAAGUUUUGUGGAGAUUCGAGUUAAUAUUGUUGUCAUCAUUAUGUAUGGGAGUAUGUUUGACCAUUCUAUGACAAUCUGAUUGUUAUGUCAUGGU